GAGUUUGAUCGUGGCUCAGAUUGAACGCUGGCGGCAUGCCUUACACAUGCAAGUCGAACGGCAGCACGGGAGCUUGCUCCUGGUGGCGAGUGGCGAACGGGUGAGUAAUGCAGUCGGAACGUAUCCUGGAGUGGGGGAUAACGUAGCGAAAGUUACGCUAAUACCGCAUAUUCUGUGAGCAGGAAAGCGGGGGACCUUCGGGCCUCGCGCUCUUGGAGCGGCCGAUGUCGGAUUAGCUAGUUGGUGAGGUAAAGGCUCACCAAGGCGACGAUCCGUAGCAGGUCUGAGAGGAUGAUCUGCCACACUGGAACUGAGACACGGUCCAGACUCCUACGGGAGGCAGCAGUGGGAAUUUUGGACAAUGGGGGCAACCCUGAUCCAGCCAUGCCGCGUGAGUGAAGAAGGCCUCGGUUGUAAG
This 418-nucleotide ribosomal RNA is filed under the name bacterium enrichment culture clone ALO1_GLFRUDD03GAP6D. Its description in RNAcentral is "bacterial SSU rRNA". It matches the Rfam family "Bacterial small subunit ribosomal RNA", at positions 9 to 429 of the family's 1533-position model. The record is from RNAcentral.